UGGCGAACGGGUGAGUAACACGUGGGUGAUCUGCCCUGCACUCUGGGAUAAGCCUGGGAAACUGGGUCUAAUACCGGAUAGGACCAUGCUUUAGUGUGUGUGGUGGAAAGUUUUUUCGGUGUAGGAUGAGCCCGCGGCCUAUCAGCUUGUUGGUGGGGUAAUGGCCUACCAAGGCGGCGACGGGUAGCCGGACUGAGAGGUUGUCGGCCACAUUGGGACUGAGAUACGGCCCAG
Molecule: ribosomal RNA, 234 nt
Filed under: uncultured Actinomycetales bacterium
Lineage: Bacteria; Bacillati; Actinomycetota; Actinomycetes; Actinomycetales
Description: partial 16S ribosomal RNA
Rfam family: Bacterial small subunit ribosomal RNA
Source: RNAcentral